This is a non-coding RNA of Anas platyrhynchos (mallard), 2176 nucleotides long. Lineage: Eukaryota; Metazoa; Chordata; Aves; Anseriformes; Anatidae. The record is from RefSeq and is a predicted model, not a curated record.
AUGACAGUUUAUUUCUACUGAGGUAUAUGAUUACCUUCCAGUGAUCUGAACCAGACCUGUUGAGGGUCUGACUUUCCAUCCAGAGGAUAUAAACCCCCAUGGACUGUAUCUUUCUUGAGAAAAGGUGAUUAGACCUGAACACCUGGUGACAGUCAAAAACAUCACACCUGUUCUAUAGUGGGUGCAGAAUUCAGAUUACAAUAUCCAGGCCCUAAAAACGGAGAGAAAACAUCUGAGACAGUUUUCUUCAACAAGAAAACUUAAUGGUCCAUGAGAAAUCAUUAAGACUACUGGAUGAAGGAACAAGAAAGAUCUGCUCUCAAGAGGCCCCCCCAUUGUGUAAAGGCUACACCUUUCCCCUAAACAUGGACUUGACUUGUGCAGCAUCAGCAUAGGCAAUAUUUCUUAUGCCAUGCACCCAUUUGUCAAAUAGCUACUCCAGAGUGGUAUGCAAAGGAACCCAUCCAUGGGAACAAUUAAAAUAUCAUUUUUCCUAAACAGUGGAAGUGCUCACUGGAACUACAUUUUAUUUGUGUUCUUAUUAGAACUGGAGGAAUGCUUUAAAAAAACUUUCUGUUAAAGAACAGAAACUUUGAAAUAAUUUUAGCUUUAUUUCACCAUAAACGUUUGGGGAAAUUAAAAAAUGGCAAGCAAAUAGAAAAUUUCCAUGAGAAACAUACUUGCAAUCAUAUAUACAAAGACCUUUUCAGAAACCAUAGAAAAACGGAAUGGUUGUUCUCAUCUAGUUAGAUCAUAAGUUUUUGUUUUAUUUCCUAUGUUUCAUGGAAGCUCUGUUUUAAAGAAAAAAAAGUGCAAUUUCACAUUUCCAGUUCUUGAUAUGCUACUAAGAAAUAGUCUUAUGAACAAGAGCUAGAAAGCAAUAAUGCUUCUAAAAUCUAAGCACUAUUCUUUUAAAACAAGUUACUGUGAUUUAUUAUUAUUAUUUUACUGGCAUAGUAAUUUUCUCUUUUUGGAGCCAAAUUAUCUUAGAGUGAAAGCUAAAUUAUUUAUACAGAAUGACUGCACGUGCCAUAUUUUUAUCUUAUAUGGAACUGUGUAAAUCUAACAAUUUCAGUGUUGUCAGCUGAGAUACUUGUAUGCCAGCUUGGUACUAUUCAUUUAUAAAUUAUUUGCAGUGUAAAAGGUAUUAUUAAGGAUAGCAUAUGAAUGCCUCAAUUUAUUGGUAUUAAAUAAGAGGUAUAAGGCUUUUCUAGUCUAUGAUAUUCAAUUUACUUUGAGUUCCUGUUAGAUUUUCAUAUGGUUUAAACAGGGUCUAAUAUAAAUGAGAAUACAGCCCUACUUUAUGUUGUCACGUUGAAGUAUGAUAAACUCUGUAUAAUAAAAGUAAUUAACAUCAGUAUUAGGAAUAUUAACAAAGUAAAUGUUCUGAGAGUCAUAAAUAUGGGAACACACACACAAAUGCAUAAAAAUGUCUAAUUAUAUCCUGGAUGGAGGAAGAGGAACAGUGACUGUAAGAAAGAGGAAAUAGCUAAUUCAGUAGCAGUCACUUAACCCUCAUAUCAUCUUAUAAAUGUGUGUAAAAAAAUAUGUUAGCCUCCCAAACAGUUAAUAGAAUUAAAAGCUGUAUUCAUGGGUAAAUGCUACAAAAAAAGUUUUAUUUGGUAUGAAAAUAUAUGACUUCUGUAUAAAAGCUUCGCCUAAAACUGCAUUUUAUGUAGACAGAGAUCAAAGUGAUUGCACAGUCACGUCUCAGAUUUCUUAAAUAGUUUCCUUUGAAGCAGAGCAAAGUCAGGAAUCUUAAGCCACUCUAAGUUAGUACUUUGACAGGUUAGGUUUAGGAAUUAAGCUCAUGCAUGGAAGUCACAGCUUCCCAUGGUACAGUGGUGUUGUUCUGUAGCGUGUACUUUCUUUUUCUUCAUGUAAUGUAUUCUGGUGGUGACUCAGCAAUAUGUGGAUUUAAAAAAAAAAAAAGUGCAUUAGUCAUGUUCCUGAGCACUGGUAAUUAUUCAAGUGAGGCUAAUGUGUGUAUAAACCCAAAUUCUCAAAAUUUGAAUAGCAAUUACAGUUCUUAGUCCACCUUCAGCUCAGUGAAAGCACAUCUUUGCCCUUUCAGUUCAAUUCUAGUUCUCUGAAUUUAGAAACCCGGGGGAAUCCCGAGCUGCUUCAUCUAACUCCAUUUAUGUUCAACAAAAACCUCUGGCUCGGCAGUGUGACU